CCUACGGGAGGCAGCAGUGGGGAAUAUUGCACAAUGGGCGCAAGCCUGAUGCAGCGACGCCGCGUGAGGGAUGACGGCCUUCGGGUUGUAAACCUCUUUCAGUAGGGAAGAAGCGAGAGUGACGGUACCUGCAGAAGAAGCGCCGGCUAACUACGUGCCAGCAGCCGCGGUAAUACGUAGGGCGCAAGCGUUAUCCGGAUUUAUUGGGCGUAAAGAGCUCGUAGGCGGUUUGUCGCGUCUGCCGUGAAAGUCCGAGGCUCAACCUCGGAUCUGCGGUGGGUACGGGCAGACUAGAGUGAUGUAGGGGAGACUGGAAUUCCUGGUGUAGCGGUGAAAUGCGCAGAUAUCAGGAGGAACACCGAUGGCCGAAGGCAGGUCUCUGGGCAUUUACUGACGCUGAGGAGCGAAAGCAUGGGGAGCGAACAGGAUUAGAUACCCUGGUAGUCCAUGCGUAACGUAGGUCGACUAGUGUGGGAGAUCUACGUUCGUCGCGUGC
Molecule: ribosomal RNA, 496 nt
Filed under: uncultured bacterium
Lineage: Bacteria
Description: bacterial SSU rRNA
Rfam family: Bacterial small subunit ribosomal RNA
Source: RNAcentral